RNAcentral lists this ribosomal RNA (254 nucleotides) under uncultured bacterium. Its description in RNAcentral is "partial 16S ribosomal RNA". It matches the Rfam family "Bacterial small subunit ribosomal RNA", at positions 524 to 776 of the family's 1533-position model. The record is from RNAcentral.
UACGGGGGGAGCAAGCGUUGUUCGGAUUUACUGGGCGUAAAGGGCGCGUAGGCGGUCGUGACAAGUCACUUGUGAAAUCUCCGGGCUUAACUCGGAACGGUCAAGUGAUACUGUCGGACUAGAGUACAGAAGGGGCAACUGGAAUUCUCGGUGUAGCGGUGAAAUGUGUAGAGAUCGGGAGGAACACCGGUGGCGAAGGCGGGUCUCUGGGCAACUCCUGACGCUGAGGCGCGAAAGCGUGGGGAGCAAACGGG